GGGUUGUGAGGUUAAGCGACUAAGCGUACACGGUGGAUGCCCUGGCAGUCAGAGGCGAUGAAGGACGUGCUAAUCUGCGAUAAGCGUCGGUAAGGUGAUAUGAACCGUUAUAACCGGCGAUUUCCGAAUGGGGAAACCCAGUGUGUUUCGACACACUAUCAUUAACUGAAUCCAUAGGUUAAUGAGGCGAACCGGGGGAACUGAAACAUCUAAGUACCCCGAGGAAAAGAAAUCAACCGAGAUUCCCCCAGUAGCGGCGAGCGAACGGGGAGGAGCCCAGAGCCUGAAUCAGUGUGUGUGUUAGUGGAAGCGUCUGGAAAGGCGCGCGAUACAGGGUGACAGCCCCGUACACAAAAAUGCACAUGCUGUGAGCUCGAUGAGUAGGGCGGGACACGUGGUAUCCUGUCUGAAUAUGGGGGGACCAUCCUCCAAGGCUAAAUACUCCUGACUGACCGAUAGUGAACCAGUACCGUGAGGGAAAGGCGAAAAGAACCCCGGCGAGGGGAGUGAAAAAGAACCUGAAACCGUGUACGUACAAGCAGUGGGAGCACGCUUAGGCGUGUGACUGCGUACCUUUUGUAUAAUGGGUCAGCGACUUAUAUUCUGUAGCAAGGUUAACCGAAUAGGGGAGCCGAAGGGAAACCGAGUCUUAACUGGGCGUUAAGUUGCAGGGUAUAGACCCGAAACCCGGUGAUCUAGCCAUGGGCAGGUUGAAGGUUGGGUAACACUAACUGGAGGACCGAACCGACUAAUGUUGAAAAAUUAGCGGAUGACUUGUGGCUGGGGGUGAAAGGCCAAUCAAACCGGGAGAUAGCUGGUUCUCCCCGAAAGCUAUUUAGGUAGCGCCUCGUGAAUUCAUCUCCGGGGGUAGAGCACUGUUUCGGCAAGGGGGUCAUCCCGACUUACCAACCCGAUGCAAACUGCGAAUACCGGAGAAUGUUAUCACGGGAGACACACGGCGGGUGCUAACGUCCGUCGUGAAGAGGGAAACAACCCAGACCGCCAGCUAAGGUCCCAAAGUCAUGGUUAAGUGGGAAACGAUGUGGGAAGGCCCAGACAGCCAGGAUGUUGGCUUAGAAGCAGCCAUCAUUUAAAGAAAGCGUAAUAGCUCACUGGUCGAGUCGGCCUGCGCGGAAGAUGUAACGGGGCUAAACCAUGCACCGAAGCUGCGGCAGCGACGCUGAUGCGUUGUUGGGUAGGGGAGCGUUCUGUAAGCCUG
Molecule: ribosomal RNA, 1219 nt
Filed under: Escherichia coli
Lineage: Bacteria; Pseudomonadati; Pseudomonadota; Gammaproteobacteria; Enterobacterales; Enterobacteriaceae
Description: partial 23S ribosomal RNA
Rfam family: Bacterial large subunit ribosomal RNA
Source: RNAcentral